CUCCAGACUCCUACGGGAGGCAGCAGUGAGGAAUAUUGGUCAAUGGGCGAGAGCCUGAACCAGCCAAGUCGCGUGAGGGAGUACUGCCCUAUGGGUUGUAAACCUCUUUUGUCGGGGAGCAAAAGCCGGACGUGUCCGGCUGUGAGAGUACCCGAAGAAAAAGCAUCGGCUAACUCCGUGCCAGCAGCCGCGGUAAUACGGAGGAUGCGAGCGUUAUCCGGAUUUAUUGGGUUUAAAGGGUGCGUAGGCGGGACGGUAAGUCAGCGGUAAAAAGGCGGGGCUCACCUCCGUCGAGCCGUUGAAACUGCCGUUCUUGAGUGAGCGAGAAGUAUGCGGAAUGAGUGGUGUAGCGGUGAAAUGCAUAGAUAUCACGCAGAACUCCGAUUGCGAAGGCAGCAUACCGGCGCUCAACUGACGCUGAAGCACGAAGGCGUGGGUAUCGAACAGGAUUAGAUACCCUAGUA
Molecule: ribosomal RNA, 464 nt
Filed under: uncultured bacterium
Lineage: Bacteria
Description: bacterial SSU rRNA
Rfam family: Bacterial small subunit ribosomal RNA
Source: RNAcentral